Molecule: non-coding RNA, 432 nt
Organism: Pelobates cultripes (western spadefoot toad)
Lineage: Eukaryota; Metazoa; Chordata; Amphibia; Anura; Pelobatidae
Source: the annotation of a GenBank genome assembly
CACACACACAGUCAGACACAUACACAGACACACACAGUCACACACACACACACACAGACACACACACACAGUCAGACACAAACACACACACAAACACACACACACACAGUCAGACACACACACACACAUACACACACACACACACACACACACAGUCAGACACACACACACACACACAUACACACAGUCAGACACACACACACACACAUACACACACAGUCAGACACAAACACACACAGUCACAUACACACACAGUCAGACACAUACACAGACACAAACACAGUCACACACACACUCACAAACACACACACACAUUAACUUUUUUUAAAUUUAAAUCCCCCCCCAACCUCCUUACCUUUGGGAGUGCUGGGGGGGUGGGGUCUCUCUCCCUGGUGGUCCAGUGGCUGCAGGGCGGGCGGCGCUGGCAGGCGG